This is a long non-coding RNA of Etheostoma spectabile (orangethroat darter), 80 nucleotides long. RefSeq lists it as uncharacterized. NCBI's taxonomy places the organism in Eukaryota, Metazoa, Chordata, Actinopteri, Perciformes, Percidae. The transcript has 3 exons. The record is from RefSeq and is a predicted model, not a curated record.
UUGUUGUAAAAUGGUGUUGCAGCUCCUUUAAGAGAGCUCAGUGCGUGUGUGUGUGUGUGUGUGUGUGUGUGGAGAGUGGG